GACGAACGCUGGCGGCGUGCCUAACACAUGCAAGUCAACUUGACUGAAGGAGCAAUCUGACAGUAGAGUGGCGCAAGGGUGCGUAACGCGUAAGUAACUUGCCCCAAGGUAAGGAAUAACGUCGAGAAAUCGGCGCUAAUACCUCAUAAUGCAGCGGAUCCGCAUGGAUAUGUUGUUAAAGGUUUACCGCCUUGGGAUAGGCUUGCGUCUGAUUAGCUAGUUGGUGUGGUAACGGCACACCAAGGCUACGAUCAGUAACUGGUCUGAGAGGAUGAUCAGUCACACUGGAACUGAGACACGGUCCAGACUCCUACGGGAGGCAGCAGUGAGGAAUAUUGGGCAAUGCUCGAAAGAGUGACCCAGCAACGCCGCGUGGAGGAUGAAGGUAUUCUAUAUCGUAAACUCCUAGUGAGAGCAGACGAAAGACAGAUUAUUAAUCUGGAUGACUGUAUGCUCAGAGGAA
This 463-nucleotide ribosomal RNA is filed under the name uncultured bacterium. RNAcentral describes it as "bacterial SSU rRNA". It matches the Rfam family "Bacterial small subunit ribosomal RNA", at positions 28 to 489 of the family's 1533-position model. The record is from RNAcentral.